Molecule: long non-coding RNA, 250 nt
Filed under: Solanum tuberosum (potato)
Lineage: Eukaryota; Viridiplantae; Streptophyta; Magnoliopsida; Solanales; Solanaceae
Description: long non-coding RNA (STUB_LNC006649)
Source: RNAcentral
AAAAAGGCAACUCUAGUCUCAAAAUAGAAUAUUUACAUAAAUACAUAGAUGAGAGACUCUAUACUAACUGACUGACUGUCUGUCUAUGAAGCCUCUAACGUACUGAGAUGGAUGUUGGGACAGACCCCGCAACAUCCUAAUAACACAAAACUAAAAGAACAAAACAAUUGAGUCCUCCGGAAGCAAGGAGGCUCACCACUGACUCUAGAGUGCUCAGCUGGAUCAACGGCGUGCAGGAUGCUGAUCCGGG